CAAGUCGAACGGGAUCCCAGGAGCUUGCUCCUGGGUGAGAGUGGCGAACGGGUGAGUAAUGCGUGACCGACCUGCCCCAUACACCGGAAUAGCUCCUGGAAACGGGUGGUAAUGCCGGAUGCUCCAGUUGAUCGCAUGGUCUUCUGGGAAAGCUUUCGCGGUAUGGGAUGGGGUCGCGUCCUAUCAGCUUGACGGCGGGGUAACGGCCCACCAAGCCUUCGAUGGAUAGGGGUUCUGAGAGGAAGGUCCCCACAUUGGAACUGAGACACGGUCCAAACUCC
This 281-nucleotide ribosomal RNA is filed under the name uncultured Bifidobacterium sp. RNAcentral describes it as "partial 16S ribosomal RNA". It matches the Rfam family "Bacterial small subunit ribosomal RNA", at positions 58 to 339 of the family's 1533-position model. The record is from RNAcentral. Lineage: Bacteria; Bacillati; Actinomycetota; Actinomycetes; Bifidobacteriales; Bifidobacteriaceae.